GGAGAGAUGGCAGAGUGGUUUAAUGCACCGGUCUUGAAAACCGGCGAGGGUUAGUAGCCCUUCAAGAGUUCGAAUCUCUUUCUCUCCGCCA
This 91-nucleotide transfer RNA is filed under the name Rheinheimera tilapiae. RNAcentral's name for it is "tRNA-Ser". It matches the Rfam family "tRNA". From Rfam's summary of the family: Transfer RNA (tRNA) molecules are approximately 80 nucleotides in length. RNAcentral also lists the same sequence under 9 other names. The record is from RNAcentral. Lineage: Bacteria; Pseudomonadati; Pseudomonadota; Gammaproteobacteria; Chromatiales; Chromatiaceae.